RNAcentral lists this ribosomal RNA (465 nucleotides) under Vreelandella stevensii. RNAcentral's name for it is "partial 16S ribosomal RNA". It matches the Rfam family "Bacterial small subunit ribosomal RNA", at positions 338 to 795 of the family's 1533-position model. Lineage: Bacteria; Pseudomonadati; Pseudomonadota; Gammaproteobacteria; Oceanospirillales; Halomonadaceae. The record is from RNAcentral.
CCUACGGGAGGCAGCAGUGGGGAAUAUUGGACAAUGGGCGAAAGCCUGAUCCAGCCAUGCCGCGUGUGUGAAGAAGGCCUUCGGGUUGUAAAGCACUUUCAGUGGGGAAGAAAGCCUUGGGGCUAAUACCCUCGAGGAAGGACAUCACCCACAGAAGAAGCACCGGCUAACUCCGUGCCAGCAGCCGCGGUAAUACGGAGGGUGCGAGCGUUAAUCGGAAUUACUGGGCGUAAAGCGCGCGUAGGCGGUCUGAUAAGCCGGUUGUGAAAGCCCCGGGCUCAACCUGGGAACGGCAUCCGGAACUGUCAGGCUAGAGUGCAGGAGAGGAAGGUAGAAUUCCCGGUGUAGCGGUGAAAUGCGUAGAGAUCGGGAGGAAUACCAGUGGCGAAGGCGGCCUUCUGGACUGACACUGACGCUGAGGUGCGAAAGCGUGGGCAGCAAACAGGAUUAGAUACCCCGGUAGUC